RNAcentral lists this ribosomal RNA (253 nucleotides) under uncultured microorganism. RNAcentral describes it as "partial small subunit ribosomal RNA". It matches the Rfam family "Bacterial small subunit ribosomal RNA", at positions 524 to 776 of the family's 1533-position model. The record is from RNAcentral.
UACGUAGGGAGCAAGCGUUGUUCGGAUUUACUGGGCGUAAAGGGCGCGUAGGCGGCGUGUUAAGUCAGCUGUGAAAUCUCCAAGCUCAACUUGGAACGGCCAGCUGAUACUGAUGUGCUAGAGUGCAGAAAGGGCAAUCGGAAUUCUUGGUGUAGCGGUGAAAUGCGUAGAUAUCAAGAGGAACACCUGAGGCGAAGGCGGGUUGCUAGGCUGACACUGACGCUGAGGCGCGAAAGCCAGGGGAGCAAACGGG